UGGCACUCAGUUCUCUGUGCCAGGGUGUAGCAACUGAUCUGAUUCUUCAGCUGGUGACCGCUAUGAGUGAGUUCAGAUGUGCUGAACAGACAGGCAGAAGAAUCCAGCACUACCACCAAUACUACUACUACUACUACUACUACUACACUAGGAGAGCCCAGUGAAAAGACUGUACAGACAAAUGCAUCGAUGAUCACUAUGAAAACGUUUUACGCAGACUUGUCAAAAUAAAUAAAAUAAGAGAUUAAAUUCACAUCGGGUCAUCAGUGUCAUCUUGAGAGGGGAAGCAUGAAGACGAAGCUAGGAUUUCAUUUUGGUGAUGCACGAGGAACAUUUAAAGGUAAGCACAGAUGUCUGAAGAUGGAAAGAUGGAUGGACCGAUCUGACAGCACAAAAUUACGCCAAGGUGAUUUCAACAUCAAUUUUGAUUUGGCUUCUUCUCCUCUAUUGACUGACUUUGUCACGUUCCUGGACUGGUCUGCAUCAAUCUGUCAACGUUCCCACUCGCACCCGUGGACACAACCUGGAUCUGCUCAUCACCGUGUUCUAAUCUCUGAGUCUCAGAUAUCUCUUUCUCUCUCUGACCAUUUCUUAAUCACUGCAAAUAUUAAUCUUCCCACACCUUCAGCUACUACUGAUACUGUUAUUUCCUUCUAUGUCAAAAAUCUGCUAAAUCAUAUAAUAAUUUUAGAAUGUGUCUCUUCUUCCCCUCUGACUGGCACUCUUCCAUCUUCGGUCGGUGAAGUACUUCUCUGAAAUCAUAUCACGGUAAACCAAAUAUUCUCUUCAAAAUGAUUGAUCAAAUCCUGCAUCCAGCCAUCGAUAACUCCUCCUCCCAUUCAUCCUCUCUUACCUGCAAUGAUUUCUCCUUUCUUUUGGAACAAAAUUGACACCAUUUAUUCUAUGCUGUCCUGCCAUAAACCCAGUAUAGUACCACCUUGACUCCCCUCUGAUUGCCCCUCCUGCUCUCUCUUCCUUCUCUCCUCUCCCCAUUACUGAUGUCUCCAGCCUGUUGUUGAAAUCA
This is a long non-coding RNA of Polyodon spathula (Mississippi paddlefish), 1024 nucleotides long. RefSeq lists it as uncharacterized. The transcript is spliced from 5 exons. The record is from RefSeq and is a predicted model, not a curated record. NCBI's taxonomy places the organism in Eukaryota, Metazoa, Chordata, Actinopteri, Acipenseriformes, Polyodontidae.